AUACGUAGGGGGCUAGCGUUAUCCGGAAUUACUGGGCGUAAAGGGUGCGUAGGUGGUUUCUUAAGUCAGAAGUGAAAGGCUACGGCUCAACCGUAGUAAGCUUUUGAAACUAAGAGACUUGAGUGCAGGAGAGGAGAGUAGAAUUCCUAGUGUAGCGGUGAAAUGCGUAGAUAUUAGGAGGAAUACCAGUUGCGAAGGCGGCUCUCUGGACUGUAACUGACACUGAGGCACGAAAGCGUGGGGAGCAAACAGGAUUAGAUACCCUGGUAGUCCACGCCGUAAACGAUGAGUACUAGCUGUCGGGGGUUACCCCCCUCGGUGGCGCAGCUAACGCAUUAAGUACUCCGCCUGGGAAGUACGCUCGCAAGAGUGAAACUCAAAGGAAUUGGCGGGGG
This 395-nucleotide ribosomal RNA is filed under the name uncultured bacterium. RNAcentral's name for it is "partial 16S ribosomal RNA". It matches the Rfam family "Bacterial small subunit ribosomal RNA", at positions 523 to 919 of the family's 1533-position model. The record is from RNAcentral.